GUGGGGAAUAUUGGACAAUGGGCGAAAGCCUGAUCCAGCCAUGCCGCGUGUGUGAAGAAGGUCUUCGGAUUGUAAAGCACUUUAAGUUGGGAGGAAGGGCAUUAACCUAAUACGUUAGUGUUUUGACGUUACCGACAGAAUAAGCACCGGCUAACUUCGUGCCAGCAGCCGCGGUAAUACGAAGGGUGCAAGCGUUAAUCGGAAUUACUGGGCGUAAAGCGCGCGUAGGUGGUUCAGCAAGUUGGAGGUGAGAUCCCCGUGCUCAACCUGGGUACUGCCUCCAAAACUACUGAGGUAGAGGACGGUAGAGGGUAGUGGAAGUUCCUGUGUAGCGGUGAAAUGCGUAGAUAUAGGAAGGAACACCAGUGGAGAAGGCGACUACCUGGACUGAUACUGACACUGAGGUGCGAAAGCGUGGGGAGCAAACAGGAUUAGAUACCCGUGUAGUCC
This 450-nucleotide ribosomal RNA is filed under the name uncultured bacterium. Its description in RNAcentral is "partial 16S ribosomal RNA". It matches the Rfam family "Bacterial small subunit ribosomal RNA", at positions 354 to 796 of the family's 1533-position model. The record is from RNAcentral.